This is a non-coding RNA of Dermacentor andersoni, 1808 nucleotides long. NCBI's taxonomy places the organism in Eukaryota, Metazoa, Arthropoda, Arachnida, Ixodida, Ixodidae. The record is from RefSeq and is a predicted model, not a curated record.
CUUAAGAUGGCGGCUACGUGCAAACAGCUGAUCGGUUCUGUGGGCCGCUCUUGGUGUAUUUUUGUCCGUAACGCUGCCUGAUGAGAUGAAAUCUCGGCGUACGAGGUACUUUCGCCCGAGAAGAAUUCUGGAAGCUGUGAACAUCAUGAAGACUGUGAAAGCGUAGUGCUCGGAUACGGAAGAAUCGAUGAAGGUUGGAAGGCAUCUCAACAGAUAGCUGUGGUACAUUCCCCCGUGCGGGCGGUACAGAUACUCCGCCAACAGCCGCUGGAGGAUGCGGCCUGCAGGGCAGCCGCCGAGUAUGCGCGGCAGGGGCAGCUGGCUGAGGCAGCGAACGCGGAGGCCGCCAGUUUCCACCAGCUGCUGCUGCAGCAAAAUAGGCAGCAUCAUCAGCAGCUGGUGGAGGAGCUGAGGGCGGCCCGGGUGGUGCAGCAGCAGCUGGCAGCAGAGAUGCGUGGUUUGAGAGAGGCCACCGGCCUCAUCGCGACAACACUGCGCCAGCUCCUGGCUGCCCUGGCUCGCCUCUGCGAGCAUCCUCAGCCAUGAGGGACAGUCCCCCCCCCCCCUUAUAAUCCUUUAGUACUAAUAGGUACAAGUGUUGCCCAUCUUUCCGUUCAAAUCACCGCUGCAGCAUUUGGUGGUGGUGCCCCUACCUCCUCGAAAGCUGUUGUGGCGAGUUGUAGCCAGUCUUGUGAAAUUAUGUGCAGGUCAUGUGCGACCAUGGCAGCGAAAGCUGAUAGUGCUGUGAUGUCACUUGAAACACAAAUGCGUGUUCUUUAUAUUUUGUAUGUAGCACUAAAAGAUGAUAUGACUGUUUUCCCUACAUUUCUGUACCUAAUCAUUUUUUUUUCAAGGUAAUUUCUUUUCAUGUGUAUUUUCACUUGCAGUGCAAGUUUGCCCAAGUGAGACGUUAUAAAUUAUAUGUAGAAUGUUUGCCAUAUUUCCGUUAGGUGUUGUUCACUUCUGUUUUGCUGUUACUGAUAUGUUUCAAUGCGCACCAUUUUUCCAAGGAAGGUAUACACUAUGCAAUCACUUUUACAGCAACUUCGACAUUGUCUCGCACACAUACAGGUGCACUUAACUACAAUGCUGUGAUAACUGGAAAUGAAUUUUCAUGCCAUAUGUAUGUCAUGUUUGCAACGUCAAACUUUGCAACGCCUACGCAAUGCAAAGUAGCCGAAUUGGAAUUUUUUUUAACACCAAGCGCCUGUUACUUGUGAUAGUUAUUGUGAUAUUUCAGGUGUCCUUACGUAUGAUAGCAGUACAAUCUAGUCCCCAUUGUAGUUGAGCACAGUUUGUGACAUACAUAAUGGAGCCAUCGAUGUGGCCACUAUUUUGACAUUCGCUGCCAGGCUGCUCUUGCAGCCGUUAUAUGAAAUACCGUUGAAGUGCCAAACGUUUUCUCACUUGUCCUUCCUUAAAAGCAUGUGAUGGCUGUUUUAUAUUGUGAUCUUAUUACGGCACUAGUCAUUGAACUAUUUCGUGCUACAAACACGCUGACUACAUAAUAGACAAGACAUCUUUCUUGCUUUUAAGUUGCUGAAUGAAGAUAAAUGGUUGUGUGCGAGUUCAAAAAAACAUCAUAAUGCUCGUGUCAUAUUUAUGCAGUUUAACAUCUGCCAACUGGGUAGUGUACUGGGUCCCAUGUAGUGAACAUCACACGGCUAUUUUGGCGCCAUGAAGUCAUGCUCUGUGUGCUUGUCUGUCAUUUGCUUUGAUGAAAGAUGGCAUUGAAGAUGGGUCACAUGGUUUUAUUUACAAUGCAGAUAUAAAUAAACAAUUUUAAACAAUGCAAGUGGCACUUGAAA